GAAAUGCGAUAAGUAGUGUGAAUUGCAGAAUUCAGUGAAUCAUCGAAUCUUUGAACGCACAUUGCGCCCUUUGGUAUUCCUUAGGGCUUGCCUGUUCGAGCGUCAUUUGUAACCUCAAGCUCAGCUUGGUGUUGGGUGUCUGUCCCCGCCCCGCGCGGGGACUCGCCUCAAAAACAUUGGCGGCCGGUACGUUGGCUUCGAGCGCAGCAGAAACGCGAACUCGAGGCCCGACGGAUCGGCGACCAGAAGUCACUUCUUCCACAGCUUGACCUCGGAUCAGGUAGGGAUACCCGCUGAACUUAAGC
RNAcentral lists this unclassified non-coding RNA (305 nucleotides) under plant metagenome. Its description in RNAcentral is "partial contains 5.8S ribosomal RNA, internal transcribed spacer 2, and large subunit ribosomal RNA". The stretch from base 1 to 105 matches the Rfam family "5.8S ribosomal RNA", at positions 50 to 154 of the family's 154-position model. The record is from RNAcentral.